CUACGUAGGUGGCAAGCGUUGUCCGGAAUUAUUGGGCGUAAAGCGCGCGCAGGUGGUUCCUUAAGUCUGAUGUGAAAGCCCCCGGCUCAACCGGGGAGGGUCAUUGGAAACUGGGGAACUUGAGUGCAGAAGAGGAUAGUGGAAUUCCAAGUGUAGCGGUGAAAUGCGUAGAGAUUUGGAGGAACACCAGUGGCGAAGGCGACUGUCUGGUCUGUAACUUACACUGAGGCGCGAAAGCGUGGGGAGCAAACAGGAUUAGAUACCCUGGUAGUCCACGCCGUAAACGAUGAGUGCUAAGUGUUGGGGGGUUUCCGCCCCUCAGUGCUGCAGCUAACGCAUUAAGCACUCCGCCUGGGGAGUACGGUCGCAAGACUGAAACUCAAAUGAAUUGGCGGGG
This 397-nucleotide ribosomal RNA is filed under the name uncultured bacterium. RNAcentral describes it as "partial 16S ribosomal RNA". It matches the Rfam family "Bacterial small subunit ribosomal RNA", at positions 523 to 918 of the family's 1533-position model. The record is from RNAcentral.